Oreochromis aureus is the source of this 733-nucleotide long non-coding RNA. Lineage: Eukaryota; Metazoa; Chordata; Actinopteri; Cichliformes; Cichlidae. The record is from Ensembl.
CGGCUGCACCAGCUACAGGGGCCUGGCUAGCUACGGGUGAAUGAAGGGUGCGAAGCCGAGUCUCCAAUUCAGUAAUCCUGGCCUCCAGAGCUGCAAAUAUGCUACAUUUGUUACAGGUAUCAUUACUGCUAAAGGAGGCCGAGGAGUAACUAAACAUCUGACACAAUGAGCAGGAAAGUGCAGGAGGGACAGGUGAAGUAGCCAUGGUGCUAACGAGUCGGCUGCGAGCUAAGGUAAGCUAGCGAAACAGUACAGACACAGUGAGUGAAUACCAUCCAUCCAUCCAUUCACUGCCGCUUGUCCUUUUCAGGGUCGCGGGGGCGCUGGAGCCUAUCCCAGCUGUCAUAGGGCGAGAGGCGGGGUACACCCUGGACAGGUCGCCAGUCUGUCGCAGGGCUAAUGAUGGCCUUUUUGGCCAGGGUGAAGGGAGUAUCUGCCAUCAAACAAGAAGACAGCCGCAUGUAACUACGACGGUGUUUGCUAGUUCACCUUACAUGCAUUAAUGUAAUAAUGUGGUUACCGUACUCAACGUUAAUUACACACGAACAACAUCAUGAAGCUACUCACACAGAGAAGAACGGCUGCUGCCAUCAUCAUCAUCCGUCAUCAUUUCUGCUACGCUGACAGGGCUAGGGGCCAGGACUCUACUCUUCGGGUUUUUGGGGAUGUUGCUAACUCCGGGUCCGAUAACAGGCACCACACCUGCAGUAGAUGUGCACAGUGUGAGGUCUCG